This 209-nucleotide ribosomal RNA is filed under the name uncultured bacterium. RNAcentral describes it as "partial 16S ribosomal RNA". It matches the Rfam family "Bacterial small subunit ribosomal RNA", at positions 524 to 733 of the family's 1533-position model. The record is from RNAcentral.
GACAGAGGCCUCAAGCGUUAGGCGGAAUCACUGGGCUUAAAGCGUGUGUAGGCGGAUCGUUAAGUGUCUUGUGAAAUCCCACGGCUCACCCGUGGAACUGCUGGGCAUACUGGCGAUCUUGGGCCAACUAGGGGCAACUGGAACAAGCGGUGGAGCGGUGAAAUGCGUAGAUAUCGCUUGGAACGCCAAAGGUGAAAACAGGUGCUGGG